Molecule: ribosomal RNA, 482 nt
Filed under: uncultured bacterium
Lineage: Bacteria
Description: partial 16S ribosomal RNA
Rfam family: Bacterial small subunit ribosomal RNA
Source: RNAcentral
AUUGAACGCUGGCGGCAUGCUUUACACAUGCAAGUCGAACGGUAACAGGCCGCAAGGUGCUGACGAGUGGCGAACGGGUGAGUAAUGCAUCGGAACGUGCCCAGUCGUGGGGGAUAACUACUCGAAAGAGUAGCUAGUACCGCAUACGAUCUAUGGAUGAAAGCGGGGGACCGUAAGGCCUCGCGCGAUUGGAGCGGCCGAUGUCAGAUUAGGUAGUUGGUGGGGUAAAGGCUCACCAAGCCAACGAUCUGUAGCUGGUCUGAGAGGACGACCAGCCACACUGGGACUGAGACACGGCCCAGACUCCUACGGGAGGCAGCAGUGGGGAAUUUUGGACAAUGGGCGCAAGCCUGAUCCAGCAAUGCCGCGUGCAGGAAGAAGGCCUUCGGGUUGUAAACUGCUUUUGUACGGAACGAAACGGCUCCGGUUAAUACCCGGGGCUAAUGACGGUACCGUAAGAAUAAGCACCGGCUAACUACGUG